Molecule: ribosomal RNA, 203 nt
Filed under: Saccharomyces cerevisiae (brewer's yeast)
Lineage: Eukaryota; Fungi; Ascomycota; Saccharomycetes; Saccharomycetales; Saccharomycetaceae
Description: partial 26S ribosomal RNA
Rfam family: Eukaryotic large subunit ribosomal RNA
Source: RNAcentral
AGCGGCAAAAGCUCAAAUUUGAAAUCUGGUACCUUCGGUGCCCGAGUUUGUAAUUUGGAGAGGGCAACUUUGGGGCCGUUCCUUGUCUAUGUUCCUUGGAACAGGACGUCAUAGAGGGUGAGAAUCCCGUGUGGCGAGGAGUGCGGUUCUUUGUAAAGUGCCUUCGAAGAGUCGAGUUGUUUGGGAAUGCAGCUCUAAGUGGG